UUUGUUGCCAGCGAGUAAUGUCGGGAACUCAAGGAGACUGCCGGUGAUAAACCGGAGGAAGGUGGGGAUGACGUCAAGUCAUCAUGGCCCUUACGAGUAGGGCUACACACGUGCUACAAUGGCAUAUACAAAGAGAAGCGAACUCGCGAGAGCAAGCGGACCUCAUAAAGUAUGUCGUAGUCCGGAUUGGAGUCUGCAACUCGACUCCAUGAAGUCGGAAUCGCUAGUAAUCGUAGAUCAGAAUGCUACGGUGAAUACGUUCCCGGGCCUU
This 271-nucleotide ribosomal RNA is filed under the name uncultured Enterobacteriaceae bacterium. RNAcentral's name for it is "partial 16S ribosomal RNA". It matches the Rfam family "Bacterial small subunit ribosomal RNA", at positions 1111 to 1382 of the family's 1533-position model. Lineage: Bacteria; Pseudomonadati; Pseudomonadota; Gammaproteobacteria; Enterobacterales; Enterobacteriaceae. The record is from RNAcentral.